This 491-nucleotide ribosomal RNA is filed under the name uncultured bacterium. RNAcentral's name for it is "partial 16S ribosomal RNA". It matches the Rfam family "Bacterial small subunit ribosomal RNA", at positions 29 to 507 of the family's 1533-position model. The record is from RNAcentral.
GUGAACGCUGGCGGUAGGCCUAACACAUGCAAGUCGCACGGCAGCACAGUAAGAGCUUGCUCUUACGGGUGGCGAGUGGCGGACGGGUGAGGAAUACAUCGGAAUCUACUUUUUCGUGGGGGAUAACGUAGGGAAACUUACGCUAAUACCGCAUACGACCUACGGGUGAAAGCAGGGGAUCUUCGGACCUUGCGCGAUUGAAUGAGCCGAUGUCGGAUUAGCUAGUUGGCGGGGUAAGGGCCCACCAAAGCGACGAUCCGUAGCUGGUCUGAGAGGAUGAUCAGCCACACUGGAACUGAGACACGGUCCAGACUCCUACGGGAGGCAGCAGUGGGGAAUAUUGGACAAUGGGCGCAAGCCUGAUCCAGCCAUACCGCGUGGGUGAAGAAGGCCUUCGGGUUGUAAAGCCCUUUUGUUGGGAAAGAAAAGCAGCAGGUUAAUACCCCGCUGUUCUGACGGUACCCAAAGAAUAAGCACCGGCUAACUUCGUG